Molecule: long non-coding RNA, 277 nt
Filed under: Hordeum vulgare
Lineage: Eukaryota; Viridiplantae; Streptophyta; Magnoliopsida; Poales; Poaceae
Description: long non-coding RNA (HVUL_LNC003334)
Source: RNAcentral
AUAUGUAUACAAUAUAGAGCUAUCUCCAAUAUUUUUCACAUAUUACAAGUGAUUGUCGAACUUCAUAUGUAUACCUCGCCGGACUUUAUUAUUUCUCCACCGGCUUCUCCACCAGCUUCUCCAUCAGUGGAGCUAUCACCUUCUCCGUCAUUGGACCUAUCUCCUGCCCCAUCGGCUUCAUCUUCGUGUCGGCCGACCUCCAUUCCAUAUCCGGAGGGGUUUAGAUAUGACGACGGAGAUUCAGCUGGUUCAACGUCGGGGCCGUCUUUGAUUAUAU